CCCCGGUAAACGGCGGCCGUAACUAUAACGGUCCUAAGGUAGCGAAAUUCCUUGUCGGGUAAGUUCCGACCUGCACGAAUGGCGUAAUGAUGGCCAGGCUGUCUCCACCCGAGACUCAGUGAAAUUGAACUCGCUGUGAAGAUGCAGUGUACCCGCGGCAAGACGGAAAGACCCCGUGAACCUUUACUAUAGCUUGACACUGAACAUUGAGCCUUGAUGUGUAGGAUAGGUGGGAGGCUUUGAAGUGUGGACGCCAGUCUGCAUGGAGCCGACCUUGAAAUACCACCCUUUAAUGUUUGAUGUUCUAACGUGGACCCGUAAUCCGGGUUGCGGACAGUGUCUGGUGGGUAGUUUGACUGGGGCGGUCUCCUCCUAAAGAGUAACGGAGGAGCACGAAGGUUGGCUAAUCCUGGUCGGACAUCAGGAGGUUAGUGCAAUGGCAUAAGCCAGCUUGACUGCGAGCGUGACGGCGCGAGCAGGUGCGAAAGCAGGUCAUAGUGAUCCGGUGGUUCUGAAUGGAAGGGCCAUCGCUCAACGGAUAAAAGGUACUCCGGGGAUAACAGGCUGAUACCGCCCAAGAGUUCAUAUCGACGGCGGUGUUUGGCACCUCGAUGUCGGCUCAUCACAUCCUGGGGCUGAAGUAGGUCCCAAGGGUAUGGCUGUUCGCCAUUUAAAGUGGUACGCGAGCUGGGUUUAGAACGUCGUGAGACAGUUCGGUCCCUAUCUGCCGUGGGCGCUGGAGAACUGAGGGGGGCUGCUCCUAGUACGAGAGGACCGGAGUGGACGCAUCACUGGUGUUCGGGUUGUCAUGCCAAUGGCACUGCCCGGUAGCUAAAUGCGGAAGAGAUAAGUGCUGAAAGCAUCUAAGCACG
RNAcentral lists this ribosomal RNA (872 nucleotides) under Salmonella enterica. RNAcentral's name for it is "partial 23S ribosomal RNA". It matches the Rfam family "Bacterial large subunit ribosomal RNA", at positions 1918 to 2789 of the family's 2925-position model. Lineage: Bacteria; Pseudomonadati; Pseudomonadota; Gammaproteobacteria; Enterobacterales; Enterobacteriaceae. The record is from RNAcentral. RNAcentral also lists the same sequence under 2 other names.